This 62-nucleotide transfer RNA is filed under the name Hoplasoma unicolor. RNAcentral's name for it is "tRNA-Tyr". The record is from RNAcentral. Lineage: Eukaryota; Metazoa; Arthropoda; Insecta; Coleoptera; Chrysomelidae.
GGUAAAAUGGCUGAGAUUAAGCGAUAAAUUGUAAAUUUUUUUACGAAGUUAAUUCUUUUACC